RNAcentral lists this ribosomal RNA (503 nucleotides) under uncultured bacterium. RNAcentral's name for it is "partial 16S ribosomal RNA". It matches the Rfam family "Bacterial small subunit ribosomal RNA", at positions 30 to 523 of the family's 1533-position model. The record is from RNAcentral.
AUUGAACGCUGGCGGCAGGCUUAACACAUGCAAGUCGAGCGGGGUGAUGGUGCUUGCACUAUCACUUAGCGGCGGACGGGUGAGUACUGCUUAGGAAUCUGCCUAUCAGUUGGGGACAACAUCUCGAAAGGGAUGCUAAUACCGCAUACGUACUACGGGAGAAAGCAGAGGAUCACUUGUGACCUUGCGCUAAUAGAUGAGCAUCAGUCGGAUGAGCUAGUUGGUGGGGUAAAGGCCUACCAAGGCGACGAUCUGUAGCGGGUCUGAGAGGAUGAUCCGCCACACUGGGACUGAGACACGGCCCAGACUCCUACGGGAGGCAGCAGUGGGGAAUAUUGGACAAUGGGGGGAACCCUGAUCCAGCCAUGCCGCGUGUGUGAAGAAGGCCUUAUGGUUGUAAAGCACUUUAAGCGAGGAGGAGGCUCUUUUGGUUAAUACCCAAGAUGAGUGGACGUUACUCGCAGAAUAAGCACCGGCUAACUCUGUGCCAGCCGCCGCCGUAA